GUUAAACUAGUUAAACUAGUACAGCACUCUGACUAACGGGUUAAACUAGUACAGCACUCUGACUAACGGAUUAAACUAGUUAAACUAGUACAGCACUCUGACUAAUGGGUUAAACUAGUACAGCACUACUAACUUAAACUAGUACAGCACUCUGACUAACGGGUUAAACUAGUACAGCACUCUGACUAACGGGUGAUACUAGUUUAACUAGUACAGCACUCUGACUAACCAGUGAUAUCAUUUAAACUAGUAAAACUAGCACAGCACUCUCACUAACGGGUGAUAUCACUUAAACUAGUUAAACUAGUACAGCACUCUGACUAACGGGUAGAUCACUCUGACUAACGGGUGAUAUCACUUAAACUAGUUAAACUAGUACAGCACUCUGACUAACGGGUUAAACUAGUACAGCACUCUGACUAACGGGUUAAACUAGUACAGAGGUAGUGGUAGUCAGAGGGUCGUGGUAGUCAGCAAGUAGUGGUAGUCAGCAAGUAGUGGUAAUGAGAGGGUCGUGGUAAAGGGUAGUGGUAGUCAGAGGUAGUGGUAGUCAGAGGGUCGUGGUAGUCAGAGGGUAGUGGUAGUCAGCAAGUAGUGGUAGUGAGAGGGUAGUGGUAGUCAGAGAGUAGAGCUUUACCGCUAGAAACACACAUCCAAUAGAAAGCAGAGAUAGACUAGAGACACACAUCCAAUAGGAAGCAGAGAUAGGCUAGAGACACACAUCCAAUAGGAAGCAGAGAUAGACUAGAGACACACAUCCA
Molecule: long non-coding RNA, 761 nt
Organism: Oncorhynchus tshawytscha (Chinook salmon)
Lineage: Eukaryota; Metazoa; Chordata; Actinopteri; Salmoniformes; Salmonidae
Source: Ensembl